UUUGUCCUACGGGGGGCAGCAGUGGGGAAUAUUGCGCAAUGGGGGAAACCCUGACGCAGCAACGCCGCGUGCGGGAUGAAGGCCUUCGGGUUGUAAACCGCUUUCAGCAGGGAAGAUCCAAGACGGUACCUGCAGAAGAAGCCCCGGCUAACUACGUGCCAGCAGCCGCGGUAAUACGUAGGGGGCGAGCGUUAUCCGGAUUCAUUGGGCGUAAAGCGCGCGCAGGCGGGGUGCUACGCGGGACC
RNAcentral lists this ribosomal RNA (245 nucleotides) under uncultured bacterium. RNAcentral's name for it is "partial 16S ribosomal RNA". It matches the Rfam family "Bacterial small subunit ribosomal RNA", at positions 333 to 594 of the family's 1533-position model. The record is from RNAcentral.